CGAAGGGGGCUAGCGUUGUUCGGAAUUACUGGGCGUAAAGCGCGCGUAGGCGGUGAUCUUUGUCAGAGGUGAAAUCCCGAGGCUCAACUUCGGAAUUGCCUUUGAAACGGGAUCGCUUGAGUCCGAGAGAGGAUGGCGGAAUUCCUAGUGUAGAGGUGAAAUUCGUAGAUAUUAGGAAGAACACCGGUGGCGAAGGCGGCCAUCUGGCUCGGUACUGACGCUCAGGCGCGAAAGCGUGGGGAGCAAACAGGAUUAGAUACCCUGGUAGUCCACGCCGUAAACUAUGAGUGCUAGUUGUUGGGAGGUUUACCUCUCAGUGACGCAGCUAACGCGUUAAGCACUCCGCCUGGGGAGUACGGUCGCAAGAUUA
RNAcentral lists this ribosomal RNA (370 nucleotides) under uncultured organism. RNAcentral's name for it is "bacterial SSU rRNA". It matches the Rfam family "Bacterial small subunit ribosomal RNA", at positions 526 to 896 of the family's 1533-position model. The record is from RNAcentral.